This 235-nucleotide unclassified non-coding RNA is filed under the name Hevea brasiliensis (rubber tree). Lineage: Eukaryota; Viridiplantae; Streptophyta; Magnoliopsida; Malpighiales; Euphorbiaceae. The record is from RNAcentral.
GGAAGAUCGAAGAUAGAGAAAGAUCCAGGGGAAACAGGGGAACCAACUGGGAAAUUGUACAGAGUCGGCAUCGUUUCACGUAUGGAACGUCCUCUGUUUCUUCCUUUAACUCUAAAGCUUUCUGCUACUUUGAACCACUGUUUGAGCUUCUAAAAGUUCCUUGUGUACGCUUCAAACAAAUUACGCUUCGAAAGUUUUAGGGGUCAUUAAAAGGAUCUAAUCCGAUUCAAUUUUG